GUGAGUGCCAUGGUACAUACCAUCCAAAUGCCGUUUAGGCUUCAUGAUCACAGACAUUGCUCAGUUUAAUUUAUAUGUAGAGAUUGUUGACUUUGAAAAAAGAGAGCUGAUGAUUUUGUUUGACUAAAUCAUGCAGUUUAGAAAAAUUUCCAAGAGAGUCAGUUCUCCAUUGUACUUUUAAUUUAGUCUAAUGCUAUCUACCUUAAUUCGCAUUUGUUCUUUCCAUGUGGUUCAGUUAAAAAUAAAACAAAACUUUUAUCUGAGACGAUAUCUUUGAUGUAAGGUCUUAAUGAUUCCCUGAAAGAAAAAAACAAAAAAAAUCCUCAACCACAGCCCAUUAAACAUUUAAAUCAAAACAUUUAUAGACCAAAAAAGAAAAUGAAGUCAUAUUCUAUUCAAUGGAUUGCACAGGUCAGAUUAGGAGCAAGUCCUAUUUUAUCUAAUGUGAAUAACCGCAGAGUCACCUGUAAGCAAAAGGUUCCUGUUGUUUUAAGAUUAGUGAUCUAUCAUGAUGCUUGAUAGAAUAAUUCUUAGAGAAUGAUUCUUCCAAACUGAAGUUCUGAGAGAACAAAGGAAUUUUAUUUUACAAAGAAUAUUUCAAAAAUGUUAAUUUUACCAAAAUAGCUAUAGAUAUGCCUUUUAUUUCCUUUAUUUCCAAAGAACCUAUAGUAGGAUAUAGGCACCAAUUGGAUAGAAGUAAAAUAGUGGAAAAAUUAGAAACAGGUUUACAAGGAAACCCCCCCAAGACAGUUGAUACGCUGCUUCUUCAAAUGACUUGCAUAAUAUAAUUCAGGUUUCUAGUGUGUCUGAAGUCUGCAGUAAACAUCAGAUGUGCAGGACUCAGGAGCCAGUGAAAGUGAAUCCAGCUCAAAGGAAAGAGGAGAGGCACACUGGAGCCCAUUUAUGGACUCACGGGACUUAAGGCAAUAAGAAACUUCAGAAAUCAGAAAGUCUGACUACCAGUAGCAACAUCCCUUGGCUGGAUGGCUACAGGCUUCUGAAAGAGAGUCUUUGCCAUAUUUUCUUCCGUUUCAAGCCAUUAGAAACUCUGUAAAAACAUUAGGAUGACAGCACCACAAUGAAGUUAGGCUACAGCUUUGUGAUAUGCUCUCUGGUCUAGAAGACUUCUGAAGACCCUCUGUCCCUAGAAACAGAGUUCUUACCGUCGUCCAAUCAAAUUUUCCUGAGGAGUGAAAAGGAACAGUGAAUGCCUAUUACACUCUGGGUGCUGUUAGAUGUGUUAUCUCAUCUAAUCCCCACAACAACCUUGUGAAGGAUUAUUAUCUCCAGUUUAUAGAUGAGGAACCUCAGUCUCAGAGACAUUAAUUAACCUGACCAAGUUUACACAGCUAGUUAAAUUAGUGGCAGAGUCUCAAUUUGAAUAAAGUCUUGCUCCUUACAAAACAUCAUGUGACCUCCCAGGAAACCUUGUUUAUUUGGUAGAUAUUUUUUAUCAUAUACUUAAGCUACUUUUAAAAAGAAGAUACACCUGAAAUGCAAAUACUUAUUAAACAUAUAAGAAGUUGUUGACCUUGGCACAUAUCUCAUGACCCUACUUUGCUCCUUGUGGCAAUGAAUGAAAGAGAACCUCCGUGAACACGCCAGCAAUUCCUGGGGAGUGGGUCUCAGACUUUGCAUUUCCCAGAUAUCUCCAUGGACUUAUCAGGUUCAGUUCAUUCUCUGUGGAUUCAGGGGAGAGCAGAAGGACCAGCCACAGGGAACACUUGCCCUUGCUGAAGCCUAAGACAGAGACUAUGGCUGCUCUGACUUGGUGCAAAUACUAGGCCAGUGGUCACCAGCAGGUUCCCCAGGAGAGACACAUCUACUCCAUAACUACUCAGUGUUAUUGAUAAAAAGCACAUCUAAAAGGAAAGGGCAAGGCAGUCAGCCCUGGUGGCCUCGUGGUUAAGUUCAGUGAGCUCCACUUUGGCAGCUUGGGUUCAGUUCCCAGGUGCAACCUACAUGGCUCUGUUAGCAGCCAUGCUGUGCUGGCGGCCCACAUACUAAAAAAUAGAGGAAGAUUGGCAUAGAUGUUAGCUCAGGGCAAAUCUUCCUCAGCAAAAAAGAAAAGGGAAAGGAAAAGGCAACCAUAAGUGAUUAUUAAAAAUACACCAGGAAAACACACACAGACAAAACAUAGCUACAUUAUUAAUAUUAGACUAAACAAAUAUUCAAGGAGAAAGAGGGUAUUAUGAAAUCACAAAAGGUAUCAUUCACAAAGAAGAUACAAUGUUUUUGUGCCAAGCUACUCAAUUACAAUAUUGAAAAUAAAGACAACUUUAGAAAUAUAAUAUAUUUUAUAUAUCUGAUAAACACAGAGAAAUAUGUAUUAUACAAAGAAUUUAUAUUCCUCCAAUUGUGAUAUUUGAUUGUGUACUUGCCAGAAAUAAACCUAAUACAUUAUAGAAAACAGAAACUUUUCCAGGACGUAUUUUCUGAUUAUAAUUAAAUAAAAUUAGAAAUCAAUAAUAAAAAGAAAGGUAAAAACUUAACUACUGGAAAUUAAAAAAACACUCUAGUUCUAAACCAAAGUAAAAGCAAACUAUUCAGAAAGUAAUAAAAGACCACUUCAUAUUAAAACAGAUGAAAUAUAGCUAAGGCUAAAUUCAGAUUCAAAUUUAUUCCUUCAAUACUUUUAUAAUUAAAGACAAAUUAAAUGAUUUAACCUUAAACAUUAACUAAAGAAUAUCAAAAUAAACUAAUAGAAAGCAGGAGACAUGAAUUAAUAAAGACAAAAUAUUAAAAUAAUGAAAGAAAUAGAAACUAACAAAAAAGGUGGAAAAAAUUAAAAAUUGAUAAAACCCAGUAAAUCUCAUUAAAAAGAAGACAAAACAAGAACAUAUCAGAUUAGCAAUGAGAAAGAUAUCAUAGAUACUGAAUAGAUUAAAAGAACUAUAAGAGAAUGUUAUGUGGGACUAUAUGAUAAUCACUUUGAAAAUCUGGAAGACCUAUAUGAUUUUCUAUAAAAAAAAUAAAGUGCCAAAAUCAUCCAAGAAAAGGUGACAAAAAACCUGAACAGACUCAUAACUAUAUAUUAGAUUGGAAAGAUAAUUAAAGAUCUCCCAUAAGAAAAAAAGAUAUGCCACAGAAGCAUGCACCAGGGCCAGAUAGUUUGUAAUUGGGUUCUACUUAACCCUUAAAAACAGGUAAUUCCUAUAUUGUUUGUGUUAUUCCAAGACAUAGAAAAAGUUAGUACACUCUCCAAUUCACUUUAGAGAACAUAACUGUAAUCUUAAAACCUGAUAUGUACAGUGCCAACCAUAGAUAUAUUUAUUGAAAAAUGAACUUAAACCUAUAAAAAGAUCAAUGGGAACUAUAAUUUGCAACAAACAUGUAAGAAUAAUAUCAAGAUGUCCAUGAUCUAACUGCUCUCUUACUGCUGAGACAAGUUAGGUGGAAGCACUCCACAGCGUCUGAGUAGGAAAUCCUUGGAUCAGGCCAGGAGACCUUACCUGGGUGAAUACUAUUGAGUGUUGCUAAGAUGAAAUGGAGAAGCCAAAUUUUGUUCAGAAGAUGGCAGUUAUCACUAGGAAAGUUCAAAGGCUUCCUGACCUAUUGGUCUUAUCUUAGCUAAAACUUAUUGAAAACUGAGUAUGUGUCAGGUAUUGGGCUCGGCCCUUUUGCGUUAUAUUCUCAUUUAAUCCCCACAAUAUCGCCAUAAGGUAGAUACUAUUAUUAUCCCCAUUUUAAAAAUGAGGAAACAGACUUUCUAGUGUCAUACAGCAAGGAGUGGUGAAGCCAGGAUUGAAUCUGGAUGAGCAUCCAGUCCUGAAUCACUCUGUGUAUACUCUCCUUAAACUCACCCUGCUGGCUUUAUCACUCCCACCAUCUUGUAUAUGUUAUUCCUCGAACACUUAAGCAAAAUAAUAAUACUGGUGAUAAUAGUAAUAAAAUAACGGCUGCCAUCUACGAGGAAGGAAUAUGUUCCAGGCACUGUGUUAGCAUGUUGUAUGCAUCGUCUCAUUAAGUCCUUCUAACAACCCCAUGAGGUAGUUAUUAUAAGUUCAUCAUUCAACAAAACAUGAUGGACUAUGUGUUCCAAAGACACAGUGGAAGGAUUUGGGAGCGCAGUGGCUGGUGAAAGAUGGGUUCAAAUCAGUGUUCUGAAAGAAAAUGUCUUGGUAGGCAGCAACAUAUUUUAUCAGCCUAAAAUAUUUCCUAAUGAAAAUAAAAAAAGAAAAGCCUCACUUUCUAAGAUUACAUUUUUAAAUAUAAUUUUACUACCCUUAAAAGGUCUUUAAUCAAGCUAACCGAAGCUGUUGAAAAGAGUUGGUGGAGUAGCAUUAAAAAGAUUUCACAUGUAGCUGGGAAGAUAGAUGAAUUAAUUAAUCACGAAAGAAAACUCUGCUUAGAAAAAAGAGAGACAUCCAUCUUAUCUGACCUCAGCAGUCACAUCCUCACACAAUUUCAGUAUCUUCAGUUAAAGUUAGAAGCAACUAAGUGACCAAUUUGGGAGAAGACAAACACUACAUAUUAACUACUCGAUUCUCCACAUAUGUAAUUUCCUGUCUCCUAUGAGUCUGAUAAAUUGGCCCAAGAUAAGAAAUCCCUAAAUAAAUACUGCUUGAUCCAAGACAAUGUUACCAUAUCUAAACUGUAGCAUUAUUUUUGGUAAAUUUGGGGGAAAAGCACAAAGGUUUUAACUCCACACAGCAAAUAAGAGAAAUACAAUUCUUUAAGAAUGGUCAACUUACAUGGCUUAUUGAUAUUUAGUUUGAAUGAAGAAAUCUAUCCUUACAACUAAACAGGAGCCUCUUUUAAAAUCUAUGUCAAGAUAGAGAGUUAUAAAAGAGCUUUUGAUUUCAAUAGUGAAAAUUUGAAUAUGACUUGUAUAUUAAAUUUCUUGAUCGUGACAAUGCUAUUACAGUUAUGUAGGAGAAUGCUUUUGUUCUUAGAGACACAGACUGAAGUAUUUUGGGGUGAAAGGCCAUAAUAUCUACUUCUUUCAAGUGGUUCAAAGACAACAACAAAAGGUAAGAAUAUAGCAAAAUAUUUAAAAGUGGCAACUGUAUGCAAAGCGUGUAUGGGUUCCAUUGUACUAAUUUUUGAACUUUUCUGAAGGAUUAUAAUUUUUCAAAAUAAAAAUUUAAGAGAAGAAAUGUGAUUACAGAAAAUUACCUGCCUUUAUAUCUUGUAUCUGAGGAGCUGACACACAAGUCAUUGCAGUGCUUUCAUGUUCCUACGUUGCCAUCUAAUAUUUAUCCUAAGGUGAAGAUAAUCCCUAACAUUAAUCAAGACCCACCAAUGUACCAGGAAGAGACUGUUAUAGAUAGAUACGAUGGUCCAAUAUGGAAAACUCAGACAAAUGCAAUUUCUUUUAAGCUGUAGUUCAAAAGUACUUAGAAAAUACCACAGACCUUGGUCUAUUAUGUGACUUGGAGAGCUACAUGGAACAUUUUUGGAGUGGCUGCAUGAAUCUGAUGACACAUGGAUUCUUGACUUUCAUCAUCUUUCCAGGCAACAUGUGAAAUCCCCUGGCCUGGAGAGGAGCGGUCCUACUCUAAGCAUGUGGGGCUCCCUCUUGACCCCUAUCGAUUGAGGCCAGGAAGCCUGAGGAGGGAUUAAAAACUCCAAAAUUCUUGUGUGGGGUGGGGAGGAGAAUUUUCCACCCGUAGAGACAGUUGGAGGCAUCAAGAUUUUUUAAAAUUCCCCAAGCAAUUCUCAUAUGGAGCCAAUUUGAGAACCACUGUGCUAGAGACUUGUUUCUCACUGUGGUUUGUGGAGCAGCAGUAUCAGCAUCACCUGAAACCUUGUUAGAUAUCGAGAAUCUCAGGCCCCAGCCCAGACGCACUGAUUCAGAAUCUGCUUUUUAAGAAGAUCCCUGGGUGAUUGAAAUGCACAUGAAAGUUUGAGUACAACAAUGACUGCAGUGAUCCAACAGCAUGUAAAUUGAAAAUGAACUUUAAUGAAAAAACGUUUUUCUGAAACUACUCUCCAGAGAAAAGGCAAUGAAAGCCUGCACCUGUGCUUUCCUACAAUCAGUUGACAGAGGAAGAGAAGACCUGGGCGUGGUUUACAGAUGGUUCUGCACAAUAUGCAGGCACCACCCGACAGUGGACAGUGGCGGCACUGCAGCCCCUUUCUGGGACAUCUCUGAAGGACAGUGGUGAAGAGAAAUCCCCGUAGUGGGCAGAACUUUAAGCAGUGUACCUGGUUGUUCACUUUGCUUGGAAGGAGAAGUGGACAGAUGUGCAAUUCAUGGGAUGUGGCCAAUGGUUUGCUGGAUGGGUAGGAAUUUAGAAGGAACAUGAUUGGAAAACUGGCAACAAGGAAAUUUGGGGAAGAGGUAUGUGGAUAAACCUCUCUGAAUGGGUAAAAUAUGUUAAGAUAUUUGUGUUCUAUGAGACUACUCAUCAAAGGGUGACCUCAGCAGAGGAGGAUUUUAAUCAUCAAGUGGAUAGGAUGACCCACUCUAUAGAUACCAAUCAGUCUCCCCCUAGCUACCCAUGUCAUUGCCCAGUGGGCUCUUGAACAAAGUGGCCGUGGUGGCACGGUUGGAGGUUAUGCAUAGGUUCAGCAUCAUGGACUUCCACUCACCAAGGCCAACAUGGCUAUGGCCAAUGCUGAGUACCCAAUCUGCCAGCAGCAGAGACUGAAACUGAGUACCCAAUAUGGCACCAUCUCCUGGUGUGAUCAGCCAACUACCUGAUGGCAGGCUGAUUACAUUGUAUGGCAAUCAUUAUGGAAGGGACAUUGUUAUCUUCUUACUGGUAUAGAUAUUUCCUCUAGAUAUGAAUUUGCCUUUCCUGCACACAAUACUUCUGCCAAGUCCAUGAAUUUAGAGAAUGCCUUAUCUACCAGCAUGGUACUGUGCACAGCAUUGCUUCUGAUGAAGUAACUCACUUCACAUCGAAAGCAGUGAGGCAAUGGACCCAUGCUCACGGAAUUCACUGGUCUUACCAUGUUCCCCACCAUCCUAAAGCAGGUGGCUUGGUAGAAUGGUGAACUUGCCUUUUGAAGACUCAAUUAUAGCACCAUCUAGGUGGCAACAUUGCAGGGCUAGGGGGAGGUUCUCCAGAAGGUGGUAUAUGCUCUGAAUCAGCAUCGAACAAAUGGUGCUGUUUCUCCCAUAUCUAGGAUUGAAGGGUCCAGGAUUCAAGGGGUGGAAAUGGGAGUGACACCACUCACUAUUAACCCUAGUGACGCACUAACAAAAUCUUCCUAUUCCUUUCCUAUUCCUAUCCUAUUCCUAUUCCUAUCUUAUGCUCUACUGGUCUAGAGGUCUGAGUUCCAAGGGGAGGAAUGAUUUCACUGAACUGGAAGUUAAAACUGCUGCCCAACCAUGGUGGACUCCUUGUGUCUCUGAAAUAACAGGCAAAGAGGGGAGUUACUGUGCUGGCUGGAGUGACUGAUCCUGACUACAAGGGGAAAUUGCACUGCUACUCCACAAUGGAGAGUCAAAAUAACCACAGACAUCUCAUUGUUUCACUGUCCAUUGCCACCUAGACAGAGGGGUUGAGAAAGAUGCUUUGUGACAUCCCCACCGCUGUGCUGCUUCUUGCAGUGCAGUGCGGCUGAAGACAACUGCAGCGGACACCUUAGAGCCAGAGAGAAAAGCCAAGUGGAGCAGAUGUCAGCAUCAUCCCACCAGCCUGGGUCUCUAGCUGAGUUUGUGGAGCACAGCCCGAUUACCCAUCUUGAGCUGUGAUAUUCCUGCUCUUGCAGUUGGAAAAGGCCGGGACAGAGAAAGAGGAUUCUGCUAGGGGCAAGACGAAGAGCAGGGUCAGCAAACAUUGCUGCCCAGAGAGAGGCAAGAUGUGGUCAUAAGAAAAAGGGCACAUUCAUAGAACACAUAUUCACAAAGAAUAUAUUCUCAAGGAAAACGACCUUUUUAUAAAUACAUUCUUCUUAUAAAUAAGAAGCUACCCCCAGCUUCCUCCUUUGUUCCCCACACAUUUUGCCCCAUUUCUUCUCUUCUCUGUAGUCUCCUUCCUCGCUGGGAGGGCUGCGCUGUGUGCUUACCCUGCUCCCUGUCUCUUCCCAAGUAGUCAUUCAUCCCUGCUCCCUCCAGCGCCCUAGCAAGGAGCUGGGGCAGAGACAAACCCGAUGCUCCUUCGAAUGCUAUUAGGGAGACAAAAUGAAAACUAGCCCAUUAGAACUAAGUAGUGACAAGAAAUAGUAAAUUCAUAGAAGCGGUUAUGCAGUGAAUCAGACUCAUUUCCUCCGGGCCCCUGCUCACAUGACUACUUUUCUACAAAGCCUUCUCUGACUCUCCUUGGCAGGUCCCAUUACACCUUGUUCACACCUCUAUUACAUUGCUUAGAAGUGACAUGAAAAUAGAAGCAUUCUAUCUUAGUUACUUGACUUCAUAAGUAGUCCAAUUUCUAGACUGUUUAUCCCUUUAACAACUACUUAAUAAACAAAAAUGUCUUCGUUAAACAGACAUUUGUGGGGAGGGGGGCAAAAUGGGUGAAGGGGGUGAAAAGGUACAAACUCCAGCUAUCGAAUAAAUGUCAUGGGGAUGUAAUGUACAGCAUGGUGACUAUAGUUAGUAAUACUGUAUUGCAUUUUGGAAGCUGCUAAGAAAGAAAGUAGAUCUUAAAAGUUCUCAUCACAAUAAAAAACAUUUUGUAACGAUGUAUGGUGAUGAAUGCUAACCAGACUUAUUGCGGUGAUCAUUUUGCAGUAUAUAAAAAUACCAAAUCACCAUGUUGUACACCUGAAACUAAUAUAAUGUUAUACGUCAAUUAUACCUCAAUAAAAAAAUUUCUAAAUAAAACACUGACAUUUACUGUGAGCUGACUAUGUGCUAGAGAG
This 8757-nucleotide long non-coding RNA is filed under the name Equus caballus (horse). RNAcentral describes it as "lncRNA (ENSECAG00000053156.1)". The record is from RNAcentral. Lineage: Eukaryota; Metazoa; Chordata; Mammalia; Perissodactyla; Equidae.